UACGGAGGGUGCAAGCGUUAUCCGGAUUCACUGGGUUUAAAGGGUGCGUAGGUGGCUUGAUAAGUUGACUGUGAAAUACCGGGGCUUAACCUUGGAAUGUCAGUCAAGACUGUCAAGCUGGAGUAGGAUAGAGGGAAGUGGAAUUUCCGGUGUAGCGGUGAAAUGCGUAGAUAUCGGAAAGAACACCAAUGGCGAAGGCAACUUCCUGGGUCCAUACUGACACUGAGGCACGAAAGCGUGGGGAGCAAACAGG
Molecule: ribosomal RNA, 253 nt
Filed under: uncultured bacterium
Lineage: Bacteria
Description: partial 16S ribosomal RNA
Rfam family: Bacterial small subunit ribosomal RNA
Source: RNAcentral